Molecule: ribosomal RNA, 551 nt
Filed under: Barytelphusa cunicularis
Lineage: Eukaryota; Metazoa; Arthropoda; Malacostraca; Decapoda; Gecarcinucidae
Description: partial 12S ribosomal RNA
Source: RNAcentral
CCGGAUUUAUUUAUAUAUACUAGAUUAUUAAUAGUUAUUUACUUAAAAUUUAAAGAAUUUGGCGGUAGUUUAGUCCAGUUAGAGGAACCUGUUUUAAGAAUUAAAUCGAUAAACCACGUAGAAUCUUACUUAUUUUAGUUAUAAUUAGUUUGUAUACCAUCAUUAUUAGAUAAUUUUAUAAAGAUAGUAAUUAUUGAAGUGAAUUAUGUUAAAUAAAUUAGAUCAAGGUGCAGCUUAUAAAUAAGUUAAAAUGGGUUACAAUAAAUUUUAUUUAUUACGAAAUAAUUUAGGAAUAUAGAGAUUAGGAAGGAGGAUUUAAUUGUAAUAUAAAUUUAAUAAGUUUAUGUGAUAAAGGUUCUAAAUUAUGUACACACCGCCCGGUACCCCUCAAUAGGAAUAACGGCGUUAUAGUGGUGAAAGUUCUUAGCUUAAAGGAGCUUCGCGACGGCGAAGUUGAAUUAAAUUGGCUAAAAAGGGCAACCAGAGAAAGAAGAGGCUCUGUUCUAUCCUUAAAUUUUCACAUGAAUGGAGGAAGGGGGGGGACAUUUUUA